This 1041-nucleotide ribosomal RNA is filed under the name uncultured bacterium. RNAcentral's name for it is "bacterial SSU rRNA". It matches the Rfam family "Bacterial small subunit ribosomal RNA", at positions 8 to 1064 of the family's 1533-position model. The record is from RNAcentral.
AGAGUUUGAUCCUGGCUCAGAACUAACGCUGGUGGCGUGUCUUAGUCAUGCAAGUCGAACGAGAAAGCACCUUCGGGUGCGAGUAAAGUGGCGAACGGGUGCGUAACACGUAGGUAACCUGCCCUGAAAUGGGGGAUAACCAUGGGAAACUGUGGCUAAUACCGCAUAAUCUCGCCGGGACGGGAGUACCGGUGAGGAAAGCUGAGGCGAUUUGGGAGGGGCCUGCGGUCGAUUAGCUGGUUGGUGGGGUAAAGGCCCACCAAGGCGAUGAUCGAUAGCUGUUCUGAGAGGAAGACCAGCCACACGGGAACUGAGACACGGUUCCGACUCCUACGGGGGGCAGCAGUGAGGAAUAUUGCGCAAUGGGGGAAACCCUGACGCAGCAACGCCGCGUGGAGGACGAAGGUUUUCGGAUUGUAAACUCCUUAUCUGGGGGAAGAGAGAGGACGGUACCCCAGGACGAAGACACGGCUAACUAGGUGCCAGCAGCCGCGGUAAUACCUAGGUGUCGAGCGUUAUCCGGAAUUACUGGGCGUAAAGGGUGCGCAGGCGGCGAUACAAGUCUGGCGUGAAAGCUUCUGGCUUAACUGGGAGAGGACGUUAGAAACUGUAUGGCUAGAGUGAAUGAGAGGGGGGCGGAAAUCCCGGUGUAGUGGUGGAAUGCGUAGAUAUCGGGAAGAACACCAGAGGCGAAGGCGGCCUCCUGGCAUUUUACUGACGCUGAGGCACGAAAGCGUGGGUAGCGAACGGGAUUAGAUACCCCGGUAGUCCACGCUGUAAACGAUGUGAACGAGGUGUGGGCGGUGUAGAAGCCGUCUGUGCCGGAGCAAACGCGAUAAGUUCACCGCCUGGGGAGUACGGUCGCAAGGCUAAAACUCAAAGGAAUUGACGGGGGCCCGCACAAGCAGCGGAGCGUGUGGUUUAAUUCGAUGCAACGCGAAGAACCUUACCUGGGCUUGACAUGUACGUAGUAGUGAAGGGAAACCGGAACGAGCCUUCGGGCAGCGUAGACAGGUGCUGCAUGGCUGUCGUCAGCUCGUG